CAACAAAAUGGCAGAAUCGGUGAUAAGUGUAGCGUCUCAGUCUUCGCUUCUUCUUCUAGAGCCUUCCAAGUUUGGAUUUCCAAAUUACGCCAAUCCAUCGAAGUUCCUGCGCCUGCAGCAAUCUUCGACCGAGAAGGGAAACUACCGAUUCGUUGUUUCUUCUGGUAAGCAUUUGAAGCCGCUUGUCGCUGCUAGGGUUGUCUCUUCGGGUCUCGAAUCGUCUACGCUUGUUAACGAUAGGGUUGACUUGUUAACCGAAGGCAUCGAGGUUGAACCGGAUUCCGGAGGCGGCGGUGACGGUUAUGGUGAUAUAGGAGGUCGCGGCGG
Molecule: unclassified non-coding RNA, 327 nt
Filed under: Hevea brasiliensis (rubber tree)
Lineage: Eukaryota; Viridiplantae; Streptophyta; Magnoliopsida; Malpighiales; Euphorbiaceae
Source: RNAcentral